This 247-nucleotide ribosomal RNA is filed under the name Laetisaria fuciformis. Its description in RNAcentral is "partial 28S ribosomal RNA". It matches the Rfam family "Eukaryotic large subunit ribosomal RNA", at positions 104 to 344 of the family's 3401-position model. Lineage: Eukaryota; Fungi; Basidiomycota; Agaricomycetes; Corticiales; Corticiaceae. The record is from RNAcentral.
AAAGCUCAAAUUUAAAAUCUGGCAUCCUUUGGGUGUCCGAGUUGUAUUCUGGAGAAGUGUUUUCCGCGCUGGACUGUGUAAAAGUUUCUUGGAACAGAACAUCAUAGAGGGUGAGAAUCCCGUCUUUGACACAGACUCCCAGUGCUUUGUGAUGCGCUCUCAAAGAGUCGCGUUGUUUGGGAAUGCAGCGCAAAAUGGGUGGUAAAUUCCAUCUAAAGCUAAAUAUUGGCGAGAGACCGAUAGCGAA